Molecule: ribosomal RNA, 465 nt
Filed under: uncultured Klebsiella sp.
Lineage: Bacteria; Pseudomonadati; Pseudomonadota; Gammaproteobacteria; Enterobacterales; Enterobacteriaceae
Description: bacterial SSU rRNA
Rfam family: Bacterial small subunit ribosomal RNA
Source: RNAcentral
CCUACGGGAGGCUGCAGUGGGGAAUAUUGCACAAUGGGCGCAAGCCUGAUGCAGCCAUGCCGCGUGUGUGAAGAAGGCCUUCGGGUUGUAAAGCACUUUCAGCGGGGAGGAAGGCGUUAAGGUUAAUAACCUUGGCGAUUGACGUUACCCGCAGAAGAAGCACCGGCUAACUCCGUGCCAGCAGCCGCGGUAAUACGGAGGGUGCAAGCGUUAAUCGGAAUUACUGGGCGUAAAGCGCACGCAGGCGGUCUGUCAAGUCGGAUGUGAAAUCCCCGGGCUCAACCUGGGAACUGCAUUCGAAACUGGCAGGCUAGAGUCUUGUAGAGGGGGGUAGAAUUCCAGGUGUAGCGGUGAAAUGCGGAGAGAUCUGGAGGAAUACCGGUGGCGAAGGCGGCCCCCUGGACAAAGACUGACGCUCAGGUGCGAAAGCGUGGGGAGCAAACAGGAUUAGAUACCCGGGUAGUC